This 253-nucleotide ribosomal RNA is filed under the name uncultured bacterium. RNAcentral's name for it is "partial 16S ribosomal RNA". It matches the Rfam family "Bacterial small subunit ribosomal RNA", at positions 524 to 776 of the family's 1533-position model. The record is from RNAcentral.
UAGAGAGGGUGCAAGCGUUAAUCGGAAUUACUGGGCGUAAAGAGUGCGUAGGUGGUUUGUUAAGUCAGGCUUGAAAUCCUGGGCCUCAAACUCAGAAUUGCGCUUGAUACUGACAGACUCGAGUGUGUUAGAGGAUAGUGGAAUUCCCGGUGUAACGGUGAAAUGCGUAUAUAUCGGGAGGAACAGCAGUGGCGAAGGCGGCUAUCUGGACCAGCACUGACACUGAGGUACGAGAGCGUGGGUAGCAAACAGG